Molecule: ribosomal RNA, 254 nt
Filed under: uncultured bacterium
Lineage: Bacteria
Description: partial 16S ribosomal RNA
Rfam family: Bacterial small subunit ribosomal RNA
Source: RNAcentral
UACGUAGGACCCAAGCGUUAUCCGGAUUGACUGGGCGUAAAGAGUUGCGUAGGUGGUUUGUUAAGCGAAUAGUGAAAUCUUGUGGCUCAACCAUAAGGCUAUUAUUCGAACUGGCAAACUCGAGAAUGGGAGAGGUAUCUAGAAUUCCUCAUGUAGGGGUAAUAUCCGUAGAUAUGAGGAGGAAUACCAAUGGCGUAGGCAGGAUACUGGCCCAUUUCUGACACUGAGGCACGAAAGCGUGGGGAGCGAACCGG